Molecule: long non-coding RNA, 4029 nt
Filed under: Lathyrus oleraceus (garden pea)
Lineage: Eukaryota; Viridiplantae; Streptophyta; Magnoliopsida; Fabales; Fabaceae
Description: Pisum sativum (pea) long non-coding RNA (PSAT_LNC039923)
Source: RNAcentral
AAUGUUUCUCAAGUAUAAAAUGAUCGGUGUAAACGUAAUACAACAUAAUCAAAGUUUUAACGCUUCAGAUUACUAGAUGGAGGGGUGCAACAUGGGGCCUUCUUACAAACAUAUGGAUCACAUGGCCCUAAUGGUUCACAGCAAGGUGGUAAAUCUUGUAAGUGCACUGCAAGAGAACUUUUCAUAUCAACAAGAAGCACCAAAAACAACAAGAAAAAUUUCAAUAAAGAUUCCAUGAUAACUUAAUUUUGAUUUCAAAGAAAUGAAAAAUGGAUACCGAUAGUGAAUGAUAUGUUAAACAAAUAUGUACAGAUUUAUAGGUAAAAACUAAUCUUUAGAAAAUACUUAUAUGUUAAUAAUGUACAAACUUUUUAUUUAUCCUUAUUAGCAUUGUUUUAUAUGUUGACUGACUACUAAUACUCUUUUUUUUUGGACAAAACUAACAUAAAUAAAUAUUAAAUAAUUUAUUAAUACUUUAUGUUGACUGAAUAUUAUUAUUUAUUUGACUAACUACUAAUAUUAAAUAGUGUGGUUUUAUAUUUUGAUAGCAUAAGUGUACAUCAUUGAAGUAGUAAUUCUAUUAAAUAUUAUAAGAAAUAAAGUAUCUUAUAUAAAUAAUUACUUCAAAUCAAAAUGGCUUAAAUAGUCUGUUCGUUCUUAUAAGUUAGCGUGUUCUUUUUAGUCCCUAAACUUUUUUUUGUAAAAAUAUUCUCAAAAUUAGGGAUGCUCAAAUUAACCCGUUAUUUAAAUUAUCCAUAUUCAUAUUCAAAUUUGGUUAUUAAACACCGGUUAAUUAUUAGUAUAGUUUCAAACAAAUCGAUGUUUUGGAUAUGUUAUUAAUAUCAUUUUAACCAAAUCCAUAUUGUGUACAUCCAUAUCCACAAUAAAAAUCAAAUUAGUCUAUUUUUUUUUAUAAAAAAAAAUACAAAAACACUUUUUAUUUUUUUGAAAAUAAAAAAAAAAUUAAUUGUUUUAAUUUUGAAAAAUUAUUAGUUUUUCUGCAAGAAAUAAAAAAAAUAGUUUUUAAAAAAAAUAUAAAAAUGUUUUUUAUUAUAAUAUUUUUUUCAAAAAUAAAUUUUAUUUUUGUAACAAAAAAAAUUUCUUAAAAAAUGAUUUAAAUUUUCUUUUAAUAAAAAUCUAUUAUAAAUUGGUUAUGGAUAUAACCGGCUAAUGAUUGGCUUAUAACCAUUUUACAAAAAUGAUAUCUGCUUAUGACAAUUGGUUUCAAUAACUUGUUCUAAUAUAUGAAUUAUUCAUGGUUAUGGAUUGGUUUUGGAAAUUAAUCGUCCAUGAACAUCCCUACUCUGAAUGUGAAAUCUUUUUGGUGUUGGUCCUUAAAAUUAAAAACCAAAGGAAAAUCAACAGGUUCUGUGCGGAAUUUCCUUCGAGCUUUUUUACUGAAUAAAAGUUUGCAAGUUUCUUGCAGAUUUUUACUUUAGUGACUAAAACAAUUUGAAUAGAAGCUUCCAAAGGACACUAGUAAUAUUAGUUUGUGCUCCUAUGUAAAGUACAUAGUCACUUUCAAGAUAAAGUUGUAUUUGUACACUCAUAGAAGUAUGCUUUAUAGAUAAAAUGACAACUGUAAGUUCUAUUUUAAAAGAUGAAUUGAUUACGAUAUUUGCUAAGAAUGCACCUAAGUGCCUUACAAUCACGAAAGACUUAUAUACAUGUUAUUCUUCCCUAAUCCCUCGAUACGACAACUUUUAUGUUAAUUUUAACCCAUUGAGGGUAGGGAUACUUCUUGUUCACUUGAAUAAUGCAUGGUGAAGGGGGAGGGAAAAAUUUCAUAUCUAAUUAUUUCAUAAUAAUAAAUUCAUGCAUCAAUGAGUACAUGUGUUCCUUGAGAGAGAGGUACUUACAUUGUGAAUCCAAUAUUUCUUGUCUCUAAGUUCCUUACCAAGGUUAGUUUGUGCGCUAUUGAAUCUAACUUCAUUUCUUGGGUUCCAUGUAAUCCAAGUGAUUAAGGUAAUGACCACAAUAAUAAUAUUAUUGAUUUUUUGACUUCAUACUUAAUUAAUUAUGUUGUAUAGGCUCUUAAAGGUAGUAUAAUCAAUUUCAAGCAUAAUAAGGAUUCUAACCAUGUCCAAAAUUGCAAUGUGUGUCUGCAAUUUAAGAAGAGAUGGUGAGGAGUUUCCAAGACUUUAGUAUGGAGGGAACAUUUACAAACAAAUGUAACUCUUCUCUUUCAAAGAUUAUCGUAUUUGGAAAACAAGUUAUGCACUAUAUUCUGAAAAGUCGAAUACCUUUCAGGUGCAAUGAAUUUUUUCCAUGUUUUUGGCCUAACUAAAUUCUAUAUCAUCAGUAUUAUGGGAUGCAUACGCCAUAGUGAUUGCUUUAGAUUUUCCAAAUUAUAUUGAUUGCAACAAUUUCACAAUAAUGUAUAAUGAUUUUAUGAAUAUAAUAGUUCUCUAGGAUACAAAUAUGAUGAAAUUCAUAUAAAUGUUCCUAAUAGUUCCUUGAGUUAGCUCUAGGGUAGUAGUAGUUUGCAGAUACUUAAUUUUUUAUGAAAGGGCAAUAGAGUAUUUGAUUUUACAACUUAACUAUAUAUCAUUCCAAAAACAAUUACUUUUUCCAUUCUCUAUUUACCACUUCAUAUGAUCUUCAAUAUCCUUCAAAGCAUUCUUUAAACCAAACCAUAUUUAGGAGCUUAUUUGAUCCUUAACAGGUUGUUAGUUCUUGAGGUAUCUACAUCUAAGGGUAUUGGAUAUUUUUUGUGGGCUGUGAUCAUUUUCCAUCUAUGAGUCACUCGUCCUUUUUCAUUUAAGCUCUUGAUUUUUUGCAUACCAAGACCACCAAGAGAGAUAUAUGUGCAAACUUUCUCCCACGAGAAAAUGACAAGUAUUAUUGUGUCAACAUUUCAUGUCCAUACAAAGUUUCCAAUGCAAGAAUCCAAUCUAUCCAAAAUGGACAUUACCCACUCAUAUGAUAUGACGUUAUAAACUUACAUUACAUGGAUUCAAGAUCUAACUAGUUGGACACAACCCAUUAUAUAAAGAAGAUGUUCUUUCAAGGUAUAACACUUUGUGUUGUUACAAGGGAUUGGAAGUAUUUUGUAGGCAAUGUAUGAAGCAAGAUUUCUUGUUAAGAUGCGAGAAAUUAUGUCUCGAGGUGGUUCCUGAUGCAUUUGUGGAAAGCAACAUAUUCCUACAUUAUAUGAGUCGUCAUCUCUUGAGUUGUUUACUAGGAACACAUGCUUUAAUGGAGUGUAUCUCGCACUUUUGAAAUUGGUUUCCAUUUUAGUCCAAUCAAAGAUAAGAUUAGUUAAACAGGUGUUUAUUUGAAAAAUAUUUAUCCUGAAUCUAUUUUAGCAAGAUUGGAAUUAUUAGUCAUAUCAGAUUUAGAUUUAACUGAAUUGGUUCAAUCAAAAUUGAAAAGCAACUUCAUAAAUAUUGAUAUUUUUUAGCUAAUUUGUUUGAUUGAGUGAACCUUCUUAUGUAAGAGAGAAUAUGUAUUUUUUAACAAUGAAUUUUAUAAAUUUUCGCGAAAUUGCACUAAAAAAUUGUGAAUUAACUCAACAAAUUAAAACAUAUUUAUUUUCAUGUUAAAAUAAACAAAUAGUUAACAUAACAAUUGAUCAAUCAUUCAAAAUACCUUGUCUUUUUUCAUAACUAAAUAUAAGAAGGUGAACGAUCAUCUCAAAGUAGUAUAUGAAACAUUUCAGAAAUAUAUUUCAAUAACCAAUCUUAUUAAUAUAAUUAUUAUAAAUGAGAUGAAUGUUUCUCAAGUAUAAAAUGAUCGGUGUAAAUGUAAUACAACAUAAUCAAAGUUUUAACGCUUCAGAUUACUAGAUGGAGGGGUGCAACAUGGGGCCUUCUUACAAACAUAUGGGUCACAUGGCCCUAAUGGUUCACAACAAGGAGGUAAAUCUUGUAAGUGCACUGCAAGAGCACUUUUCAUACCAACAAGAAGCACCAAAAACAUCAAGAAAAAUUUCAAUAAAGAUUCCAUGAUGACUUAAUUUUAAUUUCAAAGAAAUGAAAAAUGGAUACUAAUAGUGAAUGAUAUGUUAAACAAAUGUGUACAAAUUUA